UCGGGACUGACGGGGCUCGAACCCNC
Molecule: transfer RNA, 26 nt
Filed under: Schiedea sarmentosa
Lineage: Eukaryota; Viridiplantae; Streptophyta; Magnoliopsida; Caryophyllales; Caryophyllaceae
Description: partial tRNA-Asp
Source: RNAcentral